RNAcentral lists this ribosomal RNA (1017 nucleotides) under Cantharellus friesii. Its description in RNAcentral is "eukaryotic LSU rRNA". It matches the Rfam family "Eukaryotic large subunit ribosomal RNA", at positions 136 to 1151 of the family's 3401-position model. Lineage: Eukaryota; Fungi; Basidiomycota; Agaricomycetes; Cantharellales; Hydnaceae. The record is from RNAcentral.
UCCGAGUUCUAGAUGAGAAGAGUAGGUCAUCUGGACUGCGUGGUGUCCAAGUACAAUAGGCCGUCAGUGGGACAUCAUAGAGGGUGACAAUCCCGUCCUUGACAUCAACGUACGAGUCCAUUACGAUGCCUAUCUCAGAGAGUCGAGCAGUUUGGGAUUUGCUGCUUAAACAUGGGAGGUAGAUUCCUUCUAAAGCUAAAUACAGGCAAGAGACCGAUAGAGAACAAGUACCGCAAGGGAAAGAUGAAAUAGAACUCUGUGAAGGGAGUCAAAAGACGUGAAAUUGUUGCGAGAGAAGCGAUUCAAGUCAGCGUAGCUAGGCCCAUCAAGCCUCGUUGCUUUGGACUAGCUUUGCCAGCGGUCUUGUCCCUUUUAAGAGACUCGACAAAACGACGUGCCCUGCCCGGUCUAACGGGCAGGACCCCUCCCCAGGGGGGGCCCAGUGGCAUGGCUGGUGGAAUGGCUUGCAAUCGACCCGUCUUGAAACACGGACCAAGGAGUCUAACAUGUGUGCGAGUAUAAGGGUGGCAAACCCGUAUGCGCAAAGAAAGUGAUAGCCUUUUAUGGCUGAGAAUGGCCUGAUGACCAGACAAGCAAUAUCAUGUUCCUCGUACGGUCAUUGCCCAAGUCCCGUGGUCAGAUCCCAUGGACAUGGAGUUAGAGCAUACAUGCUAGGACCCGAAAGAUGGUGAACUAUGCCUGGACAAAGCGAAGCCAAAGGAAACUCUGGUGGAGGCUUGUAGCGAUUCUGACGUGCAAAUCGAUCGUCUGAUCUGGGUAUAGGGGCGAAAGACUAAUCGAACCAUCUCAUAGCUGGUUCCUGCCGAAGUUUCCCUCAGGAUAGCAGAGACCUUGUAGAAGUUGCAUGUGGUAAAGCGAAUGAUUAUUGACCCUGGGGCUCAAAUGGGCCUCAAUCUAUUCUCAAACUGUGAAUGCGUGCGGUUGGACUGUGCUUUGCGUAGAAGCCCUGCCAGCAAUGCUUCAGUCUCUAGUGGGCCGUUUCUGGUAAGCAGAACU